Molecule: ribosomal RNA, 31 nt
Filed under: Epichloe clarkii
Lineage: Eukaryota; Fungi; Ascomycota; Sordariomycetes; Hypocreales; Clavicipitaceae
Description: partial small subunit ribosomal RNA
Source: RNAcentral
UCUCUGUUAGUGAACUAGCGGAGGGAUUAUU